RNAcentral lists this ribosomal RNA (2081 nucleotides) under Salmonella enterica subsp. enterica serovar Weltevreden. RNAcentral's name for it is "bacterial LSU rRNA". It matches the Rfam family "Bacterial large subunit ribosomal RNA", at positions 593 to 2236 of the family's 2925-position model. Lineage: Bacteria; Pseudomonadati; Pseudomonadota; Gammaproteobacteria; Enterobacterales; Enterobacteriaceae. The record is from RNAcentral.
GUGACUGCGUACCUUUUGUAUAAUGGGUCAGCGACUUAUAUUCUGUAGCAAGGUUAACCGAAUAGGGGAGCCGGAGGGAAACCGAGUCUUAACCGGGCGUUAAGUUGCAGGGUAUAGACCCGAAACCCGGUGAUCUAGCCAUGGGCAGGUUGAAGGUUGGGUAACACUAACUGGAGGACCGAACCGACUAAUGUUGAAAAAUUAGCGGAUGACCUGUGGCUGGGGGUGAAAGGCCAAUCAAACCGGGAGAUAGCUGGUUCUCCCCGAAAGCUAUUUAGGUAGCGCCUCGUGAAUUCAUCUCCGGGGGUAGAGCACUGUUUCGGCUAGGGGGCCAUCCCGGCUUACCAACCCGAUGCAAACUGCGAAUACCGGAGAAUGUUAUCACGGGAGACACACGGCGGGUGCUAACGUCCGUCGUGAAGAGGGAAACAACCCAGACCGCCAGCUAAGGUCCCAAAGUCAUGGUUAAGUGGGAAACGAUGUGGGAAGGCCCAGACAGCCAGGAUGUUGGCUUAGAAGCAGCCAUCAUUUAAAGAAAGCGUAAUAGCUCACUGGUCGAGUCGGCCUGCGCGGAAGAUGUAACGGGGCUAAACCAUGCACCGAAGCUGCGGCAGCGACGCUUAUGCGUUGUUGGGUAGGGGAGCGUUCUGUAAGCCUGUGAAGGUGGCCUGUGAGGGUUGCUGGAGGUAUCAGAAGUGCGAAUGCUGACAUAAGUAACGAUAAAGNACGUAUCACCCAAGACAACUUUACGGAGUUGACGAUUGACGGAGCGAAGCGACGUCAAAGCGUUCAUUAAAGUCGAGUUGGCUUAGGGAUACGUUCGUUGGGUAGGGGAGCGUUCUGUAAGCCUGCGAAGGUGGCCUGUGAGGGUUGCUGGAGGUAUCAGAAGUGCGAAUGCUGACAUNCGCUUAUGCGUUGUUGGGUAGGGGAGCGUUCUGUAAGCCUGUGAAGGUGGCCUGUGAGGGUUGCUGGAGGUAUCAGAAGUGCGAAUGCUGACAUAAGUAACGAUAAAGCGGGUGAAAAGCCCGCUCGCCGGAAGACCAAGGGUUCCUGUCCAACGUUAAUCGGGGCAGGGUGAGUCGACCCCUAAGGCGAGGCCGAAAGGCGUAGUCGAUGGGAAACGGGUUAAUAUUCCCGUACUUGGUGUUACUGCGAAGGGGGGACGGAGAAGGCUAUGUUGGCCGGGCGACGGUUGUCCCGGUUUAAGCGUGUAGGUGUGUGUUCCAGGUAAAUCCGGUUCACUUUAACACUGAGGCGUGACGACGAGGCACUACGGUGCUGAAGCAACAAAUGCCCUGCUUCCAGGAAAAGCCUCUAAGCAUCAGGUAACAUCAAAUCGUACCCCAAACCGACACAGGUGGUCAGGUAGAGAAUACCAAGGCGCUUGAGAGAACUCGGGUGAAGGAACUAGGCAAAAUGGUGCCGUAACUUCGGGAGAAGGCACGCUGAUAUGUAGGUGAAGCGGUUUACCCGUGGAGCUGAAAUCAGUCGAAGAUACCAGCUGGCUGCAACUGUUUAUUAAAAACACAGCACUGUGCAAACACGAAAGUGGACGUAUACGGUGUGACGCCUGCCCGGUGCCGGAAGGUUAAUUGAUGGGGUCAGCGCAAGCGAAGCUCCUGAUCGAAGCCCCGGUAAACGGCGGCCGUAACUAUAACGGUCCUAAGGUAGCGAAAUUCCUUGUCGGGUAAGUUCCGNGACGCCUGCCCGGUGCCGGAAGGUUAAUUGAUGGGGUCAGCGCAAGCGAAGCUCCUGAUCGAAGCCCCGGUAAACGGCGGCCGUAACUAUAACGGUCCUAAGGUAGCGAAAUUCCUUGUCGGGUAAGUUCCGACCUGCACGAAUGGCGUAAUGAUGGCCAGGCUGUCUCCACCCGAGACUCAGUGAAAUUGAACUCGCUGUGAAGAUGCAGUGUACCCGCGGCAAGACGGAAAGACCCCGUGAACCUUUACUAUAGCUUGACACUGAACAUUGAGCCUUGAUGUGUAGGAUAGGUGGGAGGCUUUGAAGCGUGGACGCCAGUCUGCGUGGAGCCGACCUUGAAAUACCACCCUUUAAUGUUUGAUGUUCUAACGUGGACCCGU